UGACAUGUAAUCGGGGCUGCCUUUCUU
RNAcentral lists this non-coding RNA (27 nucleotides) under Mus musculus (house mouse). The record is from RNAcentral. Lineage: Eukaryota; Metazoa; Chordata; Mammalia; Rodentia; Muridae.